CCCCCGAGUAACCAUGAGACAAUUGACAUAUCCAAUCCCUUGCAAUUAGCUCUCCGCAGUCUUGGAUCACACUACUUAAUCUUAUUUGCGUUGUACUUGGAUUCAAGGUCCAAGUUGGGUUAGGAAUACCGGAUCUAUAUCCAUAUAAUCUCCUUCAAUUUCAGUUAACCAAUGGUUAGAGAAUUUUUCAAAUAAAGCUCCUUUCAGAUUAGGCAAGCAAUUCAACCCUGGGUGGGCCACCCAAUAGCAUCUUGGGCAUGAUGUUUAAUGACUUUUAGGUGUAAGAUUAAACUCUAUCUGUUCCUCAUUUUUUCCAAAUAGUUAAGUUCCCAGUUCAGAUCUGAUUUUUUUUUCCCCAUAAAAAACCUUUGAAAUCUUCAAUUGAGACUCUGACUACCCACAUAGUCGUAACUACCCAAUGUAAAUGUAAUAACAAAUUUUACUACAUAAUUAGAUACAAAACCCUCAAAUCACCUCCUACUAAUACAGAAGAAUAAAAGGCCAAGUGUAUAGAUUGUGUAGAAAAGUUAUAAUAAACCAAAUGGAAAUUUCAACUUCAGCAUUCUGAUACUUUUGUAACUAAAAAGAUCACCCUCCAACGCACAAAUCCUCUUCUCUUCUCCUCCCCAACAAAAAGAGAGGGGGGGGAGGGAAGGGGAAGGGAGGAGGUGG
Molecule: unclassified non-coding RNA, 672 nt
Filed under: Hevea brasiliensis (rubber tree)
Lineage: Eukaryota; Viridiplantae; Streptophyta; Magnoliopsida; Malpighiales; Euphorbiaceae
Source: RNAcentral